AGUGCUUACUGCAUUUUUUCUUACACAUGUGUUUUUCUUUUUUUGAAAACUUUGCUUUGGUAGGCCUUCUAUAUGGGGCCUGCCAGAGAUUAAACUCAACCAAAUUUUAUUUAAUGUCAACCGAUUAUUUAAUAGUCAAAACUUUCAACAACGGAUCUCUUGGUUCUCGCAUCGAUGAAGAACGCAGCGAAAUGCGAUAAGUAAUAUGAAUUGCAGAUAUUCGUGAAUCAUCGAAUCUUUGAACGCACAUUGCGCCCUUUGGUAUUCCAAAGGGCAUGCCUGUUUGAGCGUCAUUUCUCCCUCAAACCCUCGGGUUUGGUGUUGAGCGAUACGCUGGGUUUGCUUGAAAGAAAGGCGGAGUAUAAACUAAUGGAUAGGUUUUUUCCACUCAUUGGUACAAACUCCAAAACUUCUUCCAAAUUCGACCUCAAAUCAGGUAGGACUACCCGCUGAACUUAAGCAUAUCAAUAAGCGGAGGGAAAAAGAAA
This 488-nucleotide ribosomal RNA is filed under the name Lodderomyces parapsilosis. Its description in RNAcentral is "eukaryotic LSU rRNA". The stretch from base 140 to 293 matches the Rfam family "5.8S ribosomal RNA". The record is from RNAcentral. Lineage: Eukaryota; Fungi; Ascomycota; Pichiomycetes; Serinales; Debaryomycetaceae.